CUGCAAAACCCAAACACCAUCAAUCUCCUGAUUUUUCAAAAUGUAACCUUUUAGCUAAAAUGGAAAAGGAGGAAUGGAGAAGGCAGAGGACUGAGGUCUAUUUUCAGAGAGCCAUGUGGGAGUCUCAGCAGAGGAAAGGCCCAUGACCUCUCUCCCUACAGCAGAAACUGUCACUGGAUGUUGCCUGUAAAGGAAUCAAAUUAAGAGUGAGUGUAGAAAUAGAAAACGAAUGGUCAAGUCUCUGGUUGCUGUUGCCUUUUCAAAGACACUCCCAGUUCUGGCUAUCCGACAGUUGAAAAGGCUUCUCCUAACCAUGUGGUUAGCAUACUGGAACCAGUCAUAGAAUGUCUACAUGUGCUUAAGUCUCAGCAAGGCACUUCCAUCACCAAUUAUCGUGACUCGACCUGAAGCAGGUACCACUGUCUCUCCCAUGUGGGGAGAUGCCAUCAUGGAUCCUUAGCACGUGCAUCAGUCCCUGUUGCAGAGGGAGACAGGUCCCCUUCCUGCCCAGUACAAGGAAGAAGAGUUACUGGAGAGAAGCCUAUUCUCCAUUCCCAUGCCUCCAGCCAAAAGCAGCUGCUGCUCACACUCUGCUGCCUUCAUGGUCACUCUCCUGGUUACAAUUCCAUCCCAACUGCUUGAUAUUUUUAAAAAGGAAAAGAUGGAGGCUGCCAAAUCUGGAUUUGUGUGGUUACUAAGGGUAGUUUGAGGCAAGACUCGGCCUGUUUAAAGAAAUGGGAGACAUUCUCCCUUUUCACCAUGAGCUAGAUAGGUCUUUGAUCCCCAUGAGGUCUCCAUAAGAUCCCAUAGAAUGCAAAACUGAAGUUCUUUUUGUGGUGGCCAAGAACUGAAAAUUGAGGGGAUGCCCAUCAAUUGGGGAAUGGCUGAGCAAGAUGUGGCAUAUGAAUGUAAUGGAAUACCAUUGUGGCUAUAAGAAAUGAUAAGCAGGAUGCUUUCAGAAAAAUCUGGACUUAACAUGAAUUGAUGCUGAGUGAAGUGAACAGAACCAGGAGAACAUUGUACACAGUAACGGCAACAUUGUGUGAUGACCAACUUGAAUAGACUUAACUCUUCUCAGCAAUACAAGGAUCUAAGACAAUUCCAAAAGACCCAUGAUGGAAAAUGCUCUCCACAACCAGAGAAAGAACUAUGGUGUUUGAAUGCAGAUGAAAGCAUGCUAUUUUUUUUUUUGCUUCUUUCUCAUGGUUUUUCCCUUUGGUUCUUCUUUACAACAUGACUAAUGUGGAAAUAUAUUUAAUAUGAUUGUACAUGUAUAGCCUAUAUCAGAUUGCAUGCCGUCUUUGGGAGGGAGAGAAAAUUUAAAACUCAAAAUCUUUUAGAAGUGAAUGUUGAAAACUAAAAACAAAUAAAUAAAAUUUGAAAAAAGAAUGCA
This 1393-nucleotide long non-coding RNA is filed under the name Phascolarctos cinereus (koala). RNAcentral's name for it is "lncRNA (ENSPCIG00000013312.2)". The record is from RNAcentral. Lineage: Eukaryota; Metazoa; Chordata; Mammalia; Diprotodontia; Phascolarctidae.